UUAGGAAUGACACAUGGAGGUGGAAACAGAUUCAGGCACCAGCCGACCCACGGAAAGAACACAGAGAAAGGUCAAGCACCAGCUUUGACUCCUAAGGCACUGCCCCUCUCUGCCCCCCUUCCCACAGGCCCCGACUACACAACAGGGUUCAGCCUGAACACACUCCCAGAGAUGAGCCUAGGUCUGAACAAGCCUGAGACGGGGCCUCUGGGAGCCAUCUGUCACCUACAUGUUAGGACUGAAGCUGCAAAGGAAGCGGUGGUUGGCAUAACUGGAGAAGGGAACAGAUGGACAGACAGGUGACCUGGCUUCCACUAUUCGCAAUAUCCCUUUGGGUCCCUGGUUCUGGUCUGCAGGAAUCCCUGUAUUAAAUGCCAUUCCUUGGCAGAAGAAGGAAUACCCCAGAAAUGACUGAUUUCCCAGGAUCGUGAAGAUCAGAGGCGGCAAAGAUGCACUGAGCACAGACAUCCUGGCUUUUACUCUGGUCUUGGCUGCUUACGAGCUGGUGACCCUGGAUGAGAAGACUGCAGCCCAGUCAUGGGACAUGACUGCCCGAGCCUGCAGAGCUGGAAGGAGGGGGAGCCGAGGUUCCACCCUAGGCAUCUCGGUACCAAGACCUGAGCCC
Callorhinus ursinus (northern fur seal) is the source of this 625-nucleotide non-coding RNA. The record is from RefSeq and is a predicted model, not a curated record. Lineage: Eukaryota; Metazoa; Chordata; Mammalia; Carnivora; Otariidae.